UACGUAGGGGGCGAGCGUUGUCCGGAAUCAUUGGGCGUAAAGCGCGUGUAGGCGGCCCGGUAAGUCCGCUGUGAAAGUCCAGGGCUCAACCCUGGGAUGCCGGUGGAUACUGUCGGGCUCGAGUCCGGAAGAGGCGAGUGGAAUUCCUGGUGUAGCGGUGAAAUGCGCAGAUAUCAGGAGGAACACCGGUGGCGAAGGCGGGAUCCUGGGCCAGUACUGACGCUGAGGAGCGAAAGCGUGGGGAGCAAACAGG
RNAcentral lists this ribosomal RNA (253 nucleotides) under uncultured bacterium. RNAcentral describes it as "partial 16S ribosomal RNA". It matches the Rfam family "Bacterial small subunit ribosomal RNA", at positions 524 to 776 of the family's 1533-position model. The record is from RNAcentral.